AACGAACGCUGGCGGCGUGCCUAACACAUGCAAGUCGUGCGAGAAAGUUCCUUCGGGAGCGAGUAAAGCGGCGCACGGGUGAGUAACACGUAGGUAACCUGCCCCCCAGUCUGGAACAACUAGAGGAAACUCUAGCUAAUGCCGGAUGAGACCACGAUCCCUUCGGGGGUUGCGGCCAAAGAUGGCCUCUACUUGUAAGCUAUCGCUGAGGGAUGGGCCUGCGGCCAUUAGCUUGUUGGUGAGGUAACGGCUCACCAAGGCUGUGAUGGCUAGCUGGUCUGAGAGGAUGACCAGCCACACUGGGACUGAGACACGGCCCAGACCUCCUACGGGAGGCAGCAGUGGGGAAUAUUGCGCAAGUGGGACGAAAGCCUGACGCA
Molecule: ribosomal RNA, 380 nt
Filed under: uncultured bacterium
Lineage: Bacteria
Description: bacterial SSU rRNA
Rfam family: Bacterial small subunit ribosomal RNA
Source: RNAcentral